This 253-nucleotide ribosomal RNA is filed under the name uncultured bacterium. RNAcentral describes it as "partial 16S ribosomal RNA". It matches the Rfam family "Bacterial small subunit ribosomal RNA", at positions 524 to 776 of the family's 1533-position model. The record is from RNAcentral.
UACGUAGGGGGCAGGCGUUAUCCGGAUUUACUGGGUGUAAAGGGAGCGUAGACGGUAAAGCAAGUCUGAAGUGAAAUGCCAGUGCUCAACACUGGAACUGCUUUGGAAACUGUUUGGCUGGAGUGCAGGAGAGGUAAGUGGAAUUCCUAGUGUAGCGGUGAAAUGCGUAGAUAUUAGGAGGAACACCAGUGGCGAAGGCGGCUUACUGGACUGUAACUGACGUUGAGGCUCGAAAGCGUGGGGAGCAAACAGG